AAUAUUGCACAAUGGGCGCAAGCCUGAUGCAGCCAUGCCGCGUGUGUGAAGAAGGUCUUCGGAUUGUAAAGCACUUUCAGUGGGGAGGAAAAGAUAUGAGUUAAUACCUCAUAUCCGUGACGUUACCCACAGCAAGAAGCACCGGCUAACUCCGUGCCAGCAGCCGCGGUAAUACGGAGGGUGCGAGCGUUAAUCGGAAUUACUGGGCGUAAAGCGCGCGUAGGCGGUCAUGCAAGUGGAAGGUGAAAUCCCCGGGCUUAACCUGGGAACUGCUUUUCAAACUGCAUGACUAGAAUGUGACAGAGGUGAGUGGAAUUUCCUGUGUAGCGGUGAAAUGCGUAGAUACAGGGAGGAACAUCAGUGGCGAAGGCGACUCACUGGGUUAACAUUGACGCUGAGGUGCGAAAGCGUGGGUAGCGAACAGGAUUAGAUACCCUGGUAGUCCAUGCCGUAAACGAUGUCUGCUAGCCGUUGGUUCCCUUAGUGGAAUAAGUGGUGAAGUUAACGCGAUAAGCA
This 516-nucleotide ribosomal RNA is filed under the name uncultured bacterium. RNAcentral describes it as "bacterial SSU rRNA". It matches the Rfam family "Bacterial small subunit ribosomal RNA", at positions 360 to 866 of the family's 1533-position model. The record is from RNAcentral.